CAAUCAUAUUAUCGCAGAAGGAAGGUUAGGGAGAGAAAAGUGAGAGGAGAUAGAGAAGCCGCCGCGUCGGAAUCCACCUUUAGACGUUACCUAUACACCCGAAAAGGACUGAUAGGCCGAUGCUACACCAAGAUCCGAGAGUUCGCAAGGUGGUUGUUCUUGUAGAUCCGUGAAGAAACUCGACCGAAAAACGGGACUGGAGUCGAAAAUCUGAGAACGGCAAAUGGGUAGUUUGGUCAGUCACUCCUUUGGCUUCUUCUCCUUCAACCUUCCAGCAAUCUUGAUCAGAGCAUCGAUCCUUCCGGGAACACCUGCACGUGACGAAAACUUCCACCGGCGUCUUCUUCAAUAGCUGCAUUGAUGACUUGCUACCACUGCAAUGGCUGGUGACCCGUUCUGCAGGCGCCACUCGCCGGAGCGGACUCAAGUCUGAACAUCCUCACGAUUCCAGCGUUUUUCAACGGUUAUUUCUCUCUUUCCUUGAUUUUCGGUUAUGACCUAUGCUCAAUGGACCUUUGAUUUACAUUUCCCCCUCCCUAACGACUCCAAAUCUACGGGUCUUUUUCGGUAAGAUUCAGUGAGUAAGAACGCUCUAAACUCCUUUCGAACUCUUCCAAGUGUUGUGGCUUAGAUUCUAACCUUUAUAACUUUUAUAUUUGUAGUAUUGGAUGGAUAACGGACUCAUUUGAACACUUUUCAGCAAGGAUUGUUGUCCGUUUUGGUAAGUUUUAACGAGGAAAGUUUGGUUUAUGCUAUUUUGAACUCUUCUUAAGUGUUAUAAAGUAGUUUACGACUCUUGUGAAUUCUCUGUUGUUGUUUGGAACAGAUUCAAAUUGUUCUGCUAGGGAGUUAAGGCUGCUUUGGGCUGCCAGAGCCUGUCUUAACGAACAAGCUCAAGAACACAUGAUCUGAUGGCAUCCGGUUUGGGGCCGGAUGAGUAUCAGAGACUGCUACAGAACAAAAACCCUGGUUUUGUGAAGUUCACUUGAAUGAUAGAACGAAGGCCAUGAAGGCGAAGCCGCAUGCCAGCCAAGGAAUCCAACUAAAAUUCUGAUGCUUCAGAAGAAGACUAGCUAUGAUGCACGCACCAACAGCAGCUAGCAUAGCACCGAUCUUGCCGAACAAAAGCGAGAUUCUUGGGAAGGAAGUUUGAAGAAAAAGCGCAGCAAGUGAAAGUGUAAAGCUAAUCAACAUAGCCGCUGCAAAGAGAUUUAUCAAAAGUGGAGGAAAUGAGGUGGGUGUGCUGAUGAACAGAGCCAGAGCUGCCUGGAAAGCAAGCCCAAAAAUUAUCUUCCCAAGAUUGUUGCGAGCCUGAGGCUCCCUGGGUAACCCAUCUGAGGCUCCCUGGGUAGAAGAGAAUUGAUUCAUGUCGAUGGCAACAUGCUGUGGUGUUGAUCCCAUUGAGAAUCAGAGAAUCAGAGAAAGGAAACCUUUGAAUAUAAAAAAAAUGGGUUGUGAUAGCCCUUUUAUAGUGGUGUAAAUUUUGAUAAAUUGUAUUAGGGGUUGAUUGGAUGAGCUGGCCACUUACUGCCCAAGCUCCAGUGCCCGACAACAUCGCCCCUUACAAUUUGAAAGAACAAGAAAAACUUUUAGAGUUAUUUUACAUUUUUAAUGAGCCAUUGAAUUA
Cucurbita maxima (winter squash) is the source of this 1627-nucleotide long non-coding RNA. RefSeq lists it as uncharacterized. Lineage: Eukaryota; Viridiplantae; Streptophyta; Magnoliopsida; Cucurbitales; Cucurbitaceae. The transcript has 4 exons. The record is from RefSeq and is a predicted model, not a curated record.